UCAACCACUGCGCCACCAGGGGAGGCCCUAGAAGGAAACUGCUAAAUCCCUGCCCUCCCGGGGAGCAUGAUCUAGAGGCUGGGAAAGGCAGAUACACCAGUAUCCACAGUACAGGCCAUGUCAACAGGGAGAGCCUGGAGGCUGAGCCCACACAGGCACUUGGCUGAGCCAGAGACAAAGCCAACUCCACCCGCAAGAUCUGGAAGGUGACAGCAGCAUCUCAGGCCUUGGCAGUUGCCCUGUGUGGGUGCUAGAGAGGAAGCAGAAGCAUGUCUACAGAGGAUAGGCCCGAUGCCUGUUCCUCGCUGAGUCUCCAGAACGUCUAUGCUGUGCCAGGAAUCCAGUGAAUGCUUUGAUG
This is a long non-coding RNA of Talpa occidentalis (Iberian mole), 358 nucleotides long. RefSeq lists it as uncharacterized. The record is from RefSeq and is a predicted model, not a curated record. NCBI's taxonomy places the organism in Eukaryota, Metazoa, Chordata, Mammalia, Eulipotyphla, Talpidae. The transcript has 3 exons.